UAUAUUUGCAAAAAUUUUGGUUUCCAAGACAUUGGAACGAAGAGGGAAUCGGGUGCAAACCCCGAGCUGUCCCCGCAACUGUAAAUCGCACGAAAUUUUUUCUGUAGAAUAACCACUGCUAACGCGGGAAGGUGCAGAAAAAGCGAAAGCCAGGAGACCUGCCAGGAUUUUAUAAAAAAU
Molecule: non-coding RNA, 180 nt
Filed under: Chryseobacterium sp. Leaf180
Lineage: Bacteria; Pseudomonadati; Bacteroidota; Flavobacteriia; Flavobacteriales; Weeksellaceae
Also listed under: 1 other name
Source: RNAcentral